Molecule: ribosomal RNA, 648 nt
Filed under: Triticum aestivum (bread wheat)
Lineage: Eukaryota; Viridiplantae; Streptophyta; Magnoliopsida; Poales; Poaceae
Description: partial small subunit ribosomal RNA
Source: RNAcentral
AUGUAUCCGCCUCCCCACUCCUUCUGCAGUACGGACCCUAACGCCGCCAUGUCCGACACUGAACACGACAUGGCGGUACUUUUUACAAACCACAAUCGUGUUCUCAAGGUGGCUCGGGACACCAACCCGCACCCUGACGCUCUGGGACGCCUCCAGCAGGUGCUGCUGGGCGCUGUGCUGCGUUGUCUCUCCGAUGACACAGAUUCGUUCAGAAGGAGGAUGGACGACUUCCUUGUCAAAUUCAGCAACCUCACCAGGAAGAUGGACGACAUCAGCGCGCGCCUCCAGGCCACGCGCAGCCCUAAAGCCCGCCGCCGCGGCAUCUCCCCCGCUGCCCAGCUCGUUGGCCUUUAUGGAGAUGAUCUCUUCCGCGCGCUGAUGGGCAUGCAGCUGCCCGUGGCCACACCUGCGGAGGUCUGCCUGGAGGUCGCCCUCGCUGCACAGCGCCUCAUCGUGCAUGACCAGCUCGACUUUUUCAUCAACCUCUGUGAGAAGACUGUCUUCGGGGCCGACACUACGACGAUCAGGGAGUACAACAUCAUGGCCUUCAAGGACCACAGGAAAACAUUGGAGAAGUUCGUUCAAGAGCACAUUGACCUCGCCAAUGCCGCUGCCACUUCACAUCCACCUACCGGCCGAGCAGAAUAA